This 239-nucleotide ribosomal RNA is filed under the name uncultured Facklamia sp. RNAcentral describes it as "partial 16S ribosomal RNA". It matches the Rfam family "Bacterial small subunit ribosomal RNA", at positions 524 to 760 of the family's 1533-position model. Lineage: Bacteria; Bacillati; Bacillota; Bacilli; Lactobacillales; Aerococcaceae. The record is from RNAcentral.
UACGUAGGUGGCAAGCGUUGUCCGGAUUUAUUGGGCGUAAAGGGAGCGCAGGCGGUGACUUAAGUCUGAUGUGAAAGCCCACGGCUCAACCGUGGAGGGUCAUUGGAAACUGGGUCACNUUGAGUACAGAAGAGGAAAGCGGAAUUCCAUGUGUAGCGGUGAAAUGCGUAGAUAUAUGGAGGAACACCAGUGGCGAAACUGGUCAUUCUGGUCUGAAACUGACGCUGAGGCUCGAAAGC